This 786-nucleotide ribosomal RNA is filed under the name uncultured bacterium. RNAcentral describes it as "bacterial SSU rRNA". It matches the Rfam family "Bacterial small subunit ribosomal RNA", at positions 13 to 783 of the family's 1533-position model. The record is from RNAcentral.
UUGAUCCUGGCUCAGGACCAACUGCUGGCGGCGUGCCUAAUACAUGCAAGUCGAGCGGAUUUAUCCUUCGGGAUAAGUUAGCGGCGGACGGGUGAGUAACACGUAGGCAACCUGCCUAUAAGACUGGGAUAACUAUCGGAAACGAUAGCUAAGACCGGAUAACUGAUUUUCUCGCAUGAGAAAAUUAUGAAACACGGAGCAAUCUGUGGCUUAUAGAUGGGCCUGCGGCGCAUUAGCUAGUUGGUAGGGUAACGGCCUACCAAGGCGACGAUGCGUAGCCGACCUGAGAGGGUGAACGGCCACACUGGGACUGAGACACGGCCCAGACUCCUACGGGAGGCAGCAGUAGGGAAUCUUCCGCAAUGGACGCAAGUCUGACGGAGCAACGCCGCGUGAGUGAUGAAGGUUUUCGGAUCGUAAAGCUCUGUUGCCCUAGACGAACAGCAAGAGGAGUAACUGCCUUUUGUGUGACGGUAUAGGAGAAGAAAGCCCCGGCUAACUACGUGCCAGCAGCCGCGGUAAUACGUAGGGGGCAAGCGUUGUCCGGAAUUAUUGGGCGUAAAGCGCGCGCAGGCGGUCAAUUAAGUUGGGUGUUUAAGCCCGGGGCUCAACCCCGGCUCGCAUCCAAACCUGGUCGACUCGAGUGUAGGAGAGGAAAGUGGAAUUCCCCGUGUAGCGGUGAAAUUGCUUUUAGAUGUGAGAGGAACACCAGUGCGCAAAGCCACUUUUCUGGCCUAUAACUGACCUUUGAGGCGCGAAAAGCUUGGGGUACAAACAGGAUUUAGU